UUUAGCUUUAACAAAAAUGUUCUUUAAGUAUUUUUGUUUUCUAUUUGUUUUAUAACCUAAUCCAGCCUUAUCAUAUACAGCUUUUUGAUUAUCAAGAAUCAUAUUUAAUUUGGUUGAACUAAGUGUAAACUUAUCUACUAAGGAUUUAUAUUUUUCAGCAUCUUCUUUUAACUUGACAUUUUCAGCAAUUAGAUUCUUGGUUUCAUUUGUGAGUUUCCUACUUAAUGUUUCAUAGUUAUGAGAUAGUUUUAACUUAUCUUUGAUAAGAGAUCGAUUUUCUUCUUUUAGAACUUUAUUUUUAUUGAUUAGUUUUUUUAUGUUCUUCCAUUAGUUAUAAAAAUGCAUCAUGUAAUUCAUCAACAGUAAAAUCACAU
This 374-nucleotide long non-coding RNA is filed under the name Phoenix dactylifera (date palm). RNAcentral's name for it is "long non-coding RNA (PDAC_LNC011033)". The record is from RNAcentral. Lineage: Eukaryota; Viridiplantae; Streptophyta; Magnoliopsida; Arecales; Arecaceae.